CAAAAUAAAAAUCCGUUGGUCUAAAAAAAAAAAUUCCAAACUUUUUCCCUUGAAUAAUAACAAGGAUAAGCCUUUUGUUAGCAUUUUAAAUAUAAUUUAUAUUUUUGUUAACUAGGUAAGACUUCUUAAUCCAAAAGAUAAAUUGAAAAAAUAAAAUAACUUACUUUUUAAUCGCUAUCCAAACGACGUUUAAACUUUGUAAGUAUAAAGAGUAAAAUGUAAAGUAAAUAAAGAGGGUUGAUAACUGCUCUUUCUUUUUUAGCAGCUUGUAAUCAAAUAUAUAUAUAUAUAUAAGUGAACUAUCUUUAAAAUUAUUGUUACAAUUUAUUGACUCGAUGUGCAAAGAGAUAAGAUUUUGAAUUUUCAUUUACACUUGGUAAUUUGCCAAAGAACUGACUAAAGGUAAAUAAGAAAAAAUAUAACUGACUACUAUGCUUUGUUAUGACUCAAUAUCGGUAAAUAGUGAUCGACUAUUAUUUUUUAAGCUAACUUAGUGUCAGUAAUAAAAUGAAAAAAUAAAAAAAAAUGUCUUCAUAAUUUUUCCUUUAUCGAGUAAUGACUGAAGGAAGGACAUCCAUAGAAACACGACAUUGAUAAAGACUAAUUAUUUGACUUCCUGACUACUGCUAGUUGGCUAAUCGUCCACGUCUUUUUCUAUGAUGUUUGGUUCUUCACUUCCCAAAUCAUCCCCCACCGUUCAGCUUCACAUUUCGUCAAAUUCUUAUUCGUGCUUUCUGAGCUCUUACAAACGUGCAAGCAUUAAUAGCCAGAUGCGACAUACACACAAAGUGUUCUUCAGUAAAUGAGCCGGUUGGCUGUUUUAUAUGCUUGAAUUAUAUAUAUUCUCAUAUUUGAUCAAUUAAUUUACUAAAUUAAACUUUCAUAUACGUAUAUAACUGUCAAAUCAUCAAUGUCAAAAUAUCAUAUAUCUUCAGCUUUUAUUGUAAUUUAUUUGAUUAAUGCUUUUGAAUUUGGUUCAGUGCUCCUCAGUUGUGGCGUUUUAGUCUCCAUUCAUUUUUUGUUGGAUACGGCUUUUACAUAUUUCAUAAACAAGAUAUACAAUCUCUUAGUUUAUAUCAAGUAUAUGUUUGAUAAUGAAUAAAAUUAAUUAAGAAAAAAAGGAACGAGUGUUAAU
RNAcentral lists this long non-coding RNA (1135 nucleotides) under Citrus x clementina. Its description in RNAcentral is "Citrus clementina (C. clementina) long non-coding RNA (CCLE_LNC003505)". Lineage: Eukaryota; Viridiplantae; Streptophyta; Magnoliopsida; Sapindales; Rutaceae. The record is from RNAcentral.